UUGUGGCGGUCGGAUACGGAACUGAGAACGGCAAGGACUAUUGGAUCGUAAGAAACUCAUGGGGAACAAGCUGGGGAGAGAGUGGAUACAUAAGGAUGGAGCGUAACAUUAAGGAUUCAUCGGGAAAAUGUGGAAUUGCAAUCGAACCUUCGUACCCGAUCAAGAAUGGCCAAAACCCGCCAAACCCAGGACCUUCACCACCAUCUCCCAUCAAGCCACCAACCCAAUGUGACAGUUACUACACUUGUCCUGAGAGCAACACUUGUUGUUGUCUCUUUGAGUAUGGAAAGUAUUGCUUUGCUUGGGGAUGUUGCCCACUAGAAGCAGCCACGUGCUGUGAU
This 341-nucleotide long non-coding RNA is filed under the name Eutrema salsugineum. Its description in RNAcentral is "long non-coding RNA (ESAL_LNC000363)". The record is from RNAcentral. Lineage: Eukaryota; Viridiplantae; Streptophyta; Magnoliopsida; Brassicales; Brassicaceae.